GCAGCGCAAGGGUGAGUAAUACAUGGCUAACAUACCCCAAACAUGAGAAUAACUAUUAGAAAUGAUAGCUAAUGCUCAAUAGUUUCUUAAGACCUCCUGGUCUAAAGAAUAAAGGUAGGGAUCCUUCGGGACCUUCCGGUUUGGGAGUGGGUCAUGGGCUAUCAGCUAGUUGGUGAGGUAAAGGCUCACCAAGGCUAAGACGGCUAGGCGAUCUGAGAGGAUGAUCGCCCACAUCGGGACUGAGACACUGCCCGGACUCCUACGGGAGGCUGCAGUCGAGAAUCUUCCGCAAUGGGCGCAAGCCUGACGGAGCGACGCCGCGUGAGGGACGAAGGCUUUAGGGUCGUAAACCUCUUUCGCUUGUUAAGAAAAGUGUAUGUUAAUAGCAUGCACCCUGACAAAGGCAAGUAAAGAAGCACCGGCUAAAUCCGUGCCAGCAGCCGCGGUAAUACGGAUGGUGCAAGCGUUACUCGGAAUCACUGGGCGUAAAGCGUUCGUAGGUGGUUUAUUAAGUUGGAUGUGUAAUCCCACGGCUUAACCGUGGAACUGCGUUCAAAACUGAUAAACUAGAGAGCAGUAGGGGACAAGGGAACUUCGGGUGGAGCGGUGAAAUGCGUAGAUAUCUGAAGGAACACCGAUGGCGAAAGCACUUGCCUGGGCUGAUUCUGACACUGAGGAACGAAAGCUAGGGUAGCGAACGGGAUUAGAUACCCCGGUAGUCCUAGCCGUAAACGAUGGAUACUAGC
This 746-nucleotide ribosomal RNA is filed under the name uncultured bacterium. RNAcentral's name for it is "bacterial SSU rRNA". It matches the Rfam family "Bacterial small subunit ribosomal RNA", at positions 95 to 820 of the family's 1533-position model. The record is from RNAcentral.